Molecule: long non-coding RNA, 304 nt
Organism: Melitaea cinxia (Glanville fritillary)
Lineage: Eukaryota; Metazoa; Arthropoda; Insecta; Lepidoptera; Nymphalidae
Exons: 2
Source: RefSeq, a predicted model, not a curated record
ACUAGACUAUAUUCCUAGACUAAUGUUUGUAAGAAAAUUGGUUUUAUUUAUCUUUGUUUUUCUUUUUCAAGCUGUUAUAGAUAUGCCUAAAAAUACUGUAAAGAAGGACAAAAAGGUCUCUCAUAAUAGAAGUGAACAAGGCCUUCAAGCUAUAACAAAUAGUAACAUAGAUUUUAAGAAAAAACAAUUGGAAAUGUUGGAGGUGGAGCACAAAUUCAAUGUAAAAAUAUCAGAAUUAAAAAUGAAGUAACUUCAAUUAGAAAUUGAACUUUUGGAAAAUCAAAAAAUAUCUAUUGCUAAAGAA